UAUAGUAGGAGAUUGAAGGGAAGGGAAGGCUGGAGCUGGUCUGGUCCCUAUAUCUUAGUACUCAGCGCUGAGAGUGGCACGGGGAAAAGCCGAGGUGGGCAGAGAAGCUGUUUUCGUGCGCCUUUAUGGAGGCUUGGCCCUGGUAUUGAAUCCAAACUGGGAAGGUUGAGAGACCCCAUCUCAAUCAGGGGAAUCUGAGACAGUGGCUAGACUGAAGCCAGCCUGGGUAGGCAGUGCUGCAACAAGGCCUCUUCGCUUCCCUUAAGGGCCAGCCAACGUUGGAAUAUUGCUUCGAAAGCACUUUACAUAACUCAGCAAUGUUAUGUCCAUGCUACUGGAAAUCAGAGUGGAUAAGGCACAUCUUCAGGAUAGCGGGGCUUCAGCAGAGAGUAUUCGCAUGAGCGUGACACCUGAAGUCAGGCUGGCUGCUAGCUCCUUGCAUUUGAAACUAAAAGGAAACAUAACAUGACACAGUGCUUUGUCUCUCAAGAUGAGUGAGUAAAAAUGCUGAUAGAGUAGCUCCGCCACUGCAUCUUCACCCUGACUUGCAAUGCCCUCAUCCUGUUCUACUCGUCUAACCAUAGAAAUGUAGGGCUGGAAGGGACUUCAAGAGGUCAUCUAAUCAAUCCGUCCAUGCAGAGGCAGCACUGAAACAUGCUGCCACCCACAUACCCACAUGGAAAGCAUCGGAGAAGAGUAAACCAGAAAUAAACCCAUUCCAGGGGGAUGGAGAGAAAAAUACCCACAAAGAUAAUUGGGAG
Molecule: long non-coding RNA, 761 nt
Organism: Mauremys reevesii (Reeves's turtle)
Lineage: Eukaryota; Metazoa; Chordata; Testudines; Geoemydidae
Exons: 5
Source: RefSeq, a predicted model, not a curated record